UCAACACUGCUGCACCAACAAUCCCCACCGGUGGCGCGCUGUACCCGUGGAGGUCUUCCCCCUGACGCCGACAUUGUCGCCCCGCCGGUGAGGCCGCGGCUUCCCCACGUGAAGACCCAGGGACGCCGCCGUCCUUUCUCCACGCGAAUAACCCAGCCGCCGCCGCGGCUGCAGCUGCAGCCUCUCCACGAGCCCGCGGCCCCGCGCUCCCAGCACGCCACCACGAGACCGCCAGAAGCUGCUCUUCAUAAUCUGCAGGAAUGGAGUUAUCAUCAUUCACACACGCAUCUGGGAGAGGAACGAUAAGAACGGGAGAUCAUUCAGUAAUGAUGACUAAUAUUUUGUCUUCCAAAGAGAGCAUGCAUGCCCAGAUUUUCAGCACGCAUGUCCAGCACAGUUUAUACAGUGCUAAACAGGGAGAAAGAUGAUUACACAUCUUGCCGGGAUGCGUCCCCGCGUAAAGGAUUACAUAUCACUGUUAGAUUGGAAGACUGAGAUGAGGUCUGAAUUUGUAACCUCUAUUUUCUACCCAUUGGCAGCGGCCUGGACAGGGAGGUCGGAGUUUUUGCUCAUUCUAUUUGGAGACAACAAUUCCAAGUGGUGGUAACAAUUAGUUAGUACACUAUAUCAUUCCAUUAUGAAAUCGUUAAUCAUGUGUGCAUAUUUUUGUUUUAGUUGGCAGCUAUAUGAUCGCUUCAAUGCCCUUACCGAGUAGGAAUUUUCAUAAUAGUAACUAUCAACAAACUAGAGGCUUCGGUGGUGCUUUAGGGUUGUAGAUCUUUUUUACUUUUGGACUCGGUGUGCAACAACAUAGUGAGUACAUGCCAAUUGUAAGUCUUGUCAAUAUUUACUGAAGGGAAUAUUCACAAGGAGAUAAUUAAAUGCUAGCUGGGUAAACUGAAUUGGUAUUUUGUAAUGAUAUCUUGGGAGAACCUUUAGAAGCAUCACUUCUUUUAAGACAUGCAGAAUUUAUGUUUUAAAUCACUUUGUGAUGGCGAUCUAUUGAUCUAAUAAGUUAGCCACGACAAAUGCUUAAUCUAUUCUGGAACUUGUCAUCAGCUGAAAAGCUGGUUCAUUAGUACCAGCCGUAGGUUUAACUUUGCUGGGGGGAAUAAGUGCGUCUGAAAUGCUUUAGUGGUUAUGC
This is a long non-coding RNA of Lolium perenne, 1144 nucleotides long. RefSeq lists it as uncharacterized. The record is from RefSeq and is a predicted model, not a curated record. NCBI's taxonomy places the organism in Eukaryota, Viridiplantae, Streptophyta, Magnoliopsida, Poales, Poaceae.